This 494-nucleotide ribosomal RNA is filed under the name uncultured bacterium. RNAcentral's name for it is "partial 16S ribosomal RNA". It matches the Rfam family "Bacterial small subunit ribosomal RNA", at positions 28 to 507 of the family's 1533-position model. The record is from RNAcentral.
GACGAACGCUGGCGGCGUGCCUAAUACAUGCAAGUAGAACGCUGAAGGAGGAGCUUGCUUCUCUGGAUGAGUUGCGAACGGGUGAGUAACGCGUAGGUAACCUGCCUGGUAGCGGGGGAUAACUAUUGGAAACGAUAGCUAAUACCGCAUAAUAGCAGUUAUUGCAUGAUAACUGUUUGAAAGGUGCAAUUGCACCACUACCAGAUGGACCUGCGUUGUAUUAGCUAGUUGGUGGGGUAACGGCUCACCAAGGCGACGAUACAUAGCCGACCUGAGAGGGUGAUCGGCAACACUGGGACUGAGACACGGCCCAGACUCCUACGGGAGGCAGCAGUAGGGAAUCUUCGGCAAUGGACGGAAGUCUGACCGAGCAACGCCGCGUGAGUGAAGAAGGUUUUCGGAUCGUAAGCUCUGUUGUAAGAGAAGAACGAGUGUGAGAGUGGAAAGUUCACACUGUGACGGUAUCUUACCAGAAAGGGACGGCUAACUACGUG